This 474-nucleotide ribosomal RNA is filed under the name uncultured organism. Its description in RNAcentral is "partial 16S ribosomal RNA". It matches the Rfam family "Bacterial small subunit ribosomal RNA", at positions 335 to 800 of the family's 1533-position model. The record is from RNAcentral.
ACUCCUACGGGAGGCAGCAGUGGGGAAUUUUGGACAAUGGGCGAAAGCCUGAUCCAGCCAUGCCGCGUGCAGGAUGAAGGCCUUCGGGUUGUAAACUGCUUUUGUACGGAACGAAACGGCCUUUUCUAAUAAAGAGGGCUAAUGACGGUACCGUAAGAAUAAGCACCGGCUAACUACGUGCCAGCAGCCGCGGUAAUACGUAGGGUGCAAGCGUUAAUCGGAAUUACUGGGCGUAAAGCGUGCGCAGGCGGUUAUGUAAGACAGUUGUGAAAUCCCCGGGCUCAACCUGGGAACUGCAUCUGUGACUGCAUAGCUAGAGUACGGUAGAGGGGGAUGGAAUUCCGCGUGUAGCAGUGAAAUGCGUAGAUAUGCGGAGGAACACCGAUGGCGAAGGCAAUCCCCUGGACCUGUACUGACGCUCAUGCACGAAAGCGUGGGGAGCAAACAGGAUUAGAAACCCUGGUAGUCCCAUGA